GACGUUCUGGGUGAUUAUCGUUGGUUUCUUGGUUCGUUAAUUUUGGGAGUUUUCGAUGGGUUUUCCAUGACAAAGUCCUAUGGAAUCAGAAACCCAACUGUAAAAGAAUAACAAAAAGUGAGCUAAAGAUGUUUAAGAGAGUCUGCAAAAAAAAGCAAAGAGGAUAAGAAAAGGGAAAGAACACAUUUAUCUUUUUCACAAACAAUUGAG
RNAcentral lists this long non-coding RNA (210 nucleotides) under Panax ginseng (ginseng). Its description in RNAcentral is "long non-coding RNA (PGIN_LNC016402)". Lineage: Eukaryota; Viridiplantae; Streptophyta; Magnoliopsida; Apiales; Araliaceae. The record is from RNAcentral.